RNAcentral lists this ribosomal RNA (253 nucleotides) under uncultured bacterium. Its description in RNAcentral is "partial 16S ribosomal RNA". It matches the Rfam family "Bacterial small subunit ribosomal RNA", at positions 524 to 776 of the family's 1533-position model. The record is from RNAcentral.
UACGUAGGGAGCAAGCGUUGUUCGGAUUCAUUGGGCGUAAAGGGUGCGUAGGCGGUGGGGUAAGUUGGAUGUGAAAUCUUGGGGCUUAACCUCAAAAUUGCAUUCAAUACUGCUCCGCUCGAGUUCUGUAGAGGAGAUUGGAAUUUACGGUGUAGCAGUGAAAUGCGUAGAUAUCGUAAGGAACGCCAGUGGCGAAAGCGAAUCUCUGGGCAGCAACUGACGCUGAGGCACGAAGGCCAGGGGAGCAAACGGG